CAAGGCCUUGCGCUCUUUGAGCGGCCGAUGUCAGAUUAGCUAGUUGGUGAGGUAAAGGCUUACCAAGGCGACGAACUGUAGCGGGUCUGAGAGGAUGAUCCGCCACACUGGAACUGAGACACGGUCCAGACUCCUACGGGAGGCAGCAGUGGGGAAUUUUGGACAAUGGGGGCAACCCUGAUCCAGCCAUGCCGCGUGAGUGAAGAAGGCCUUCGGGUUGUAAAGCUCUUUCGGCCGGGAAGAAAUCGCAUGGGCCAAUACCCUGUGUGGAUGACGGUACCGGAAUAAGAAGCACCGGCUAACUACGUGCCAGCAGCCGCGGUAAUACGUAGGGUGCGAGCGUUAAUCGGAAUUACUGGGCGUAAAGCGUGCGCAGGCGGUUUUGUAAGACAGGCGUGAAAUCCCCGGGCUUAACCUGGGAACUGCGUUUGUGACUGCAAGGCUAGAGUACGGCAGAGGGGGUGGAAUUCCACGUGCAUCAGUGAAAUGCGUAGAGAUGUGGAGGAACACCAAUGGCGAAGGCAGCCCCCUGGGUCGAUACUGACGCUCAUGCACGAAAGCGUGGGUAGCAGACAGGAUUAGAUACCCUGGUAGUCCACGCCCUAAACUAUGUCAACUAGGUGUUGGGUGGGUAAAACCAUUUAGUACCGUAGCUAACGCGUGAAGUUGACCGCCUGGGGAGUACGGCCGCAAGGUUAAAACUCAAAGGAAUUGACGGGGACCCGCACAAGCGGUGGAUGAUGUGGAUUAAUUCGAUGCAACGCGAAAAACCUUACCUACCCUUGACAUGCCGGGAACUUGCCAGAGAUGGCUUGGUGCCCGAAAGGGAGCCUGGACACAGGUGCUGCAUGGCUGUCGUCAGCUCGUGUCGUGAGAUGUUGGGUUAAGUCCCGCAACGAGCGCAACCCUUGUCGUUAAUUGCCAUCAUUUAGUUGGGCACUUUAACGAGACUGCCGGUGACAAACCGGAGGAAGGUGGGGAUGACGUCAAGUCCUCAUGGCCCUUAUGGGUAGGGCUUCACACGUCAUACAAUGGUCGGUACAAAGGGUUGCCAAGCCGCGAGGCGGAGCCAAUCCCAGAAAGCCGAUCGUAGUCCGGAUUGCAGGCUGCAACUCGCCUGCAUGAAGUCGGAAUCGCUAGUAAUCGUGGAUCAGCAUGUCACGGUGAAUACGUUCCCGGGUCUUGUACACACCGCCCGUCACACCAU
Molecule: ribosomal RNA, 1207 nt
Filed under: metagenome
Description: bacterial SSU rRNA
Rfam family: Bacterial small subunit ribosomal RNA
Source: RNAcentral